GAUUAACGCUGGCGGCGUGCCUAACACAUGCAAGUCGAACGAUGAAACUCAUUAGAUUUCUUCGGAAUGAAAAUGAAUGGAUUAGUGGCGAACGGGUGAGUAACGCGUGAGUAACCUGCCUUACACAAGGGGAUAGCCUCUGGAAACGGAGAAUAAUACCCUAUGAAACCAGACAAUCGCAUGAUAAUCUGGUCAAAAUGUUUAGUGGUGUAAGAUGGACUUGCGUCUGAUUAGCUAGUUGGUGAGAUAAAAGCUCACCAAGGCAACGAUCAGUAGCCGGCUUGAGAGAGUGUACGGCCACAUUGGGACUGAGACACGGCCCAGACUCCUACGGGAGGCAGCAGUGGGGAAUUUUGCACAAUGGGGGAAACCCUGAUGCAGCGACGCCGCGUGAUUUAGAAGGCCUUCGGGUUGUAAAAAUCUUUUGUAUAGGAAGAAAAUGACAGUACUAUACGAAUAAGGUCCGGCUAAUUACGUA
RNAcentral lists this ribosomal RNA (478 nucleotides) under uncultured bacterium. Its description in RNAcentral is "partial 16S ribosomal RNA". It matches the Rfam family "Bacterial small subunit ribosomal RNA", at positions 28 to 507 of the family's 1533-position model. The record is from RNAcentral.